GAUGAACGCUGGCGGCGUGCUUAACACAUGCAAGUCGAACGGGAAACCUUUUAUUGAAGCUUCGGCAGAUUUAGCUGAUUUCUAGUGGCGGACGGGUGAGUAACGCGUGGGUAACCUGCCUUAUACAGGGGGAUAACAACCAGAAAUGGUUGCUAAUACCGCAUAAGCGCACAGGACCGCAUGGUCCGGUGUGAAAAACUCCGGUGGUAUAAGAUGGACCCGCGUUGGAUUAGCUAGUUGGCAGGGUAACGGCCUACCAAGGCGACGAUCCAUAGCCGGCCUGAGAGGGUGAACGGCCACAUUGGGACUGAGACACGGCCCAGACUCCUACGGGAGGCAGCAGUGGGGAAUAUUGCACAAUGGGGGAAACCCUGAUGCAGCGACGCCGCGUGAAGGAAGAAGUAUCUCGGUAUGUAAACUUCUAUCAGCAGGGAAGAUAGUGACGGUACCUGACUAAGAAGCCCCGGCUAACUACGUG
Molecule: ribosomal RNA, 478 nt
Filed under: uncultured bacterium
Lineage: Bacteria
Description: partial 16S ribosomal RNA
Rfam family: Bacterial small subunit ribosomal RNA
Source: RNAcentral